Molecule: ribosomal RNA, 869 nt
Filed under: Discohainesia oenotherae
Lineage: Eukaryota; Fungi; Ascomycota; Leotiomycetes; Chaetomellales; Chaetomellaceae
Description: LSU rRNA
Rfam family: Eukaryotic large subunit ribosomal RNA
Source: RNAcentral
UUGCCUCAGUAACGGCGAGUGAAGCGGCAACAGCUCAAAUUUGAAACCUGCCAACCGGCCGGAUUGUAAUUUGUAGAGGAUGCUUUUGGAGUCAGCACUGAUCUAAGUUUUCUUGGAACAGUACGUCACAGAGGGUGAGAAUCCCGUUCGUGGUCGGCUGCUGGCUUCGUGUAAAGCUCCUUCGACGAGUCGAGUUGUUUGGGAAUGCAGCUCAAAAUGGGUGGUAAAUUUCAUCUAAAGCUAAAUAUUGGCCAGAGACCGAUAGCGCACAAGUAGAGUGAUCGAAAGAUGAAAAGCACUUUGGAAAGAGAGUUAAACAGCACGUGAAAUUGUUGAAAGGGAAGCGCUUGCAAUCAGACUUGCGCGUAGGUAAUCAAGGGCGGUUCGCUGCCCUGCACUUGCCUGCGCUCAGGCCAGCAUCAGUUUUGGGGGUGGGAUAAAGGCCGUGGGAAUGUGGCUCUUCGGAGUGUUAUAGCCCUCGGUGCCAUGCCGCCUCCCGAGACUGAGGACCGCGCUUCGGCUAGGAUGCUGGCGUAAUGAUUGUAAGCGACCCGUCUUGAAACACGGACCAAGGAGUCUAACAUCUAUGCGAGUGUUUGGGUGUCAAACCCACACGCGGAAUGAAAGUGAACGGAGGUGAGAGCCCUUGAGGGUGCAUCAUCGACCGAUCCUGAUGUCUUCGGAUGGAUUUGAGUAUGAGCAUAGCUGUUGGGACCCGAAAGAUGGUGAACUAUGCCUGAAUAGGGUGAAGCCAGAGGAAACUCUGGUGGAGGCUCGCAGCGGUUUCUGACGUGCAAAUCGAUCGUCAAAUUUGGGGCAUAGGGCCGAAAGACUAAUCGAAUCAUCUAGUAGCUGAAAUACAUGACGAG